This is a long non-coding RNA of Budorcas taxicolor (takin), 228 nucleotides long. RefSeq lists it as uncharacterized. The transcript is spliced from 4 exons. NCBI's taxonomy places the organism in Eukaryota, Metazoa, Chordata, Mammalia, Artiodactyla, Bovidae. The record is from RefSeq and is a predicted model, not a curated record.
CCCGAGCGGCGCCUACGCUUCCUUCUAGAAUUCAUUCCUUGCCUGAGUGCUUUCUUCCCUUCAUCUCAUACAUUUGAAAUUUUCUUUGUGCACUGAGGAUGAGCAGAAAUCCAAAACCUAAUGGAGCAGGAAGGAGACGCUGCCCCCUGCGCCCCCCAAGAGCUGGAGUAUCUUCCAGACCUCUGAAGACUCGUGUUGCCUGAGGAAGCCCUGAAGUUAAGGAAGAGG